UACGUAGGGUGCAAGCGUUACUCGGAAUUACUGGGCGUAAAGCGUGCGCAGGCGGUUGUGCAAGACAGAUGUGAAAUCCCCGGGCUUAACCUGGGAACUGCAUUUGUGACUGCACGGCUAGAGUGUGUCAGAGGGGGGUAGAAUUCCACGUGUAGCAGUGAAAUGCGUAGAUAUGUGGAGGAAUACCGAUGGCGAAGGCAGCGCCCUGGGAUAACACUGACGCUCAUGCACGAAAGCGUGGGGAGCAAACAGG
Molecule: ribosomal RNA, 253 nt
Filed under: uncultured bacterium
Lineage: Bacteria
Description: partial 16S ribosomal RNA
Rfam family: Bacterial small subunit ribosomal RNA
Source: RNAcentral